This 756-nucleotide ribosomal RNA is filed under the name uncultured marine bacterium. RNAcentral describes it as "bacterial SSU rRNA". It matches the Rfam family "Bacterial small subunit ribosomal RNA", at positions 73 to 801 of the family's 1533-position model. The record is from RNAcentral.
GUGGUGCUUGCACCGCUAUAGCCGAGUGGCGGACGGGUGAGUAACACGUGACCAACCUGCCUUUGGGAGGGGGAUAACCUGGGGAAACCCGGACUAGUACCGCAUAUCGUCUGUUCGUUGCAUAACUUACAGAUAAAAGGGAGCCUAUGCUUGCAAGCUCUCGCCCAUAGAGGGGGUCGCGGCGUAUCAGCUAGUUGGUGGGGUAACGGCCUACCAAGGCUACGACGCGUAGCGGGUUUGAGAGGACGACCCGUCACAUUGGGACUGAGAUACGGCCCAGACUCCUACGGGAGGCAGCAGUGGGGAAUUUUGCGCAAUGGCCGAAAGGCUGACGCAGCGACGCCGCGUGUGGGAUGAAGCCUUUCGGGGUGUAAACCACCGUCAGGGGGGAAGAACUUCAUCGAUGUUAAUAGCAUCGGUGGUUGACGUUACCCUCAAAGGAAGCGCCGGCUAACUCCGUGCCAGCAGCCGCGGUAAUACGGGGGGCGCAAGCGUUGUUCGGAAUUACUGGGCGUAAAGGGCAGGUAGGUGGCUUGUUAAGUCGUCUGUGAAAAUCCGGGGCUCAACCCCGCGAAAUGCAGGCGAAACUGGCAGACUAGAGACCGGUAGAGGCUAGUGGAAUUCCUGGUGUAGCGGUGGAAUGCGUAGAUAUCAGGAAGAACACCGGUGGCGAAGGCGGCUAGCUGGGCCGGAUCUGACACUGAACUGCGAAAGCGUGGGGAGCAAACAGGAUUAGAUACCCUGGUAGUCCACGCC